GAGUUUGAUCCUGGCUCAGAACGAACGCUGGCGGCAUGCCUAACACAUGCAAGUCGAACGCCCUCUUCGGAGGGAGUGGCGCACGGGUGCGUAACGCGUGGGAACCUGCCUUUAGGUUCGGAAUAACUUCCCGAAAGGGAUGCUAAUACCGGAUGAUGUCGUAAGACCAAAGAUUUAUCGCCUUUAGAUGGGCCCGCGUUGGAUUAGCUAGUUGGUGGGGUAAUGGCUCACCAAGGCGACGAUCCAUAGCUGGUCUGAGAGGAUGAUCAGCCACACUGGGACUGAGACACGGCCCAGACUCCUACGGGAGGCAGCAGUGGGGAAUAUUGGACAAUGGGCGAAAGCCUGAUCCAGCAAUGCCGCGUGGAUGAAGAAGGUCUUCGGAUUGUAAAGUCCUUUCGGCGGGGACGAUAAUGACGGUACCCGCAGAAGAAGCCCCGGCUAACUUCGUGCCAGCAGCCGCCGCGGU
Molecule: ribosomal RNA, 469 nt
Filed under: uncultured Alphaproteobacteria bacterium
Lineage: Bacteria; Pseudomonadati; Pseudomonadota; Alphaproteobacteria
Description: bacterial SSU rRNA
Rfam family: Bacterial small subunit ribosomal RNA
Source: RNAcentral